Molecule: ribosomal RNA, 612 nt
Filed under: Hepatozoon canis
Lineage: Eukaryota; Apicomplexa; Hepatozoidae
Description: bacterial SSU rRNA
Rfam family: Eukaryotic small subunit ribosomal RNA
Source: RNAcentral
AGCCAAUGCAUGCUUUUACAGUAUGGAAAUUGGUGAUUUAUAAUAACUUGGCAAAUCGCAAAGUGAAAACAGGCGAUAAAUCAUUCAAGUUUCUGACCUAUCAGCUUUCGACGGUAUGGUAUUGGCUUACCGUGGCAGUGACGGUUAACGGGGGAUUAGGGUUCGAUUCCGGAGAGGGAGCCUGAGAAACGGCUACCACAUCUAAGGAAGGCAGCAGGCGCGCAAAUUACCCAAUUCUAACAGUUUGAGAGAGGUAGUAACAAGAAAUAACAAUACAAGGCAAUUAAAAUGCUUUGUAAUUGGAAUGAUAGAAAUUUAAACCCUUUUUAAAGUAUCAAUUGGAGGGCAAGUCUGGUGCCAGCAGCCGCGGUAAUUCCAGCUCCAAUAGCGUAUAUUAAAAUUGUUGCAGUUAAAAAGCUCGUAGUUGAAGUUCUGCUAAAAGUAACCGGUCUGCUUUUAAUAAAAGUGGUAUCUUGGUGUGUAUUUAGCAAUGAUGUCCUUUGAAGUGUUUUUUACUUUAUUGUAAUAAAGCAUAUUCAGGACUUUUACUUUGAGAAAAUUAGAGUGUUUCUAGCAGGCCGACGCUUUGAAUACUGCAGCAUGAAAUAAUAA